AAAUGCUUUCUCUGAAGAAAUACUUCACCGAAGGCCUCAUCCAGUUCACCAUUCUGCUCAGCCUGAUCGGCGUUCGUGUGGACGUGGACACCUACCUGAACUCACAGCUCCCCCCUCUCCGCGAGAUCAUUCUUGGCCAGAGCUCUGCUUACACCCAGACCCAGUUUCACAACCUGCGUAACACCUUGGAUGGAUAUGGCAUCCACCCAAAAAGCGUAGACCUGGACUAUUACUUCACCGCUCGCAGGUUGCUCAACCAGGUGAGGGCCCUGGACAGGUUUCAGGUGCCCACCACCGAAGUCAACGCUUGGUUGGUGCACAGAGACCCUGAUGGCUCCGUGUCCGGUGGCCAGCCCAGCGCCGGCAUCGCCCUAGAGAACGGCAGCGGUUUGCAGGAUGGGAGCAGCCCAGACAACGGGGUGAGAGAGAGCGGCGCUGAGCAGGGUUUUGGGGAAGAACUGGAAGAUUUGGGAGCGGUGGCUGCGCCAGUGAACGGAGACCUGACCAAAGAG
Molecule: RNA transcript, 512 nt
Organism: Mesitornis unicolor (brown roatelo)
Lineage: Eukaryota; Metazoa; Chordata; Aves; Mesitornithiformes; Mesitornithidae
Gene name: nuclear factor erythroid 2-related factor 1 pseudogene
Exons: 1
Source: RefSeq, a predicted model, not a curated record